AAUUCGACGCAACGCGCAGAACCUUACCAGGGCUUGACAUGCGACUGCAGAGCGGUGAAAGCCGAAGUCCUUCGAGGGUGUCGCACAGGUGCUGCAUGGCUGUCGUCAGCUCGUGUCGUGAGAUGUUGGGUUAAGUCCCGCAACGAGCGCAACCCCCGUGGCCAGUUACGUGGGUGUCUGGCCAGACUGCCGGUAGCAAGCCGGAGGAAGGCGGGGAUGAUGUCAAGUCAGCAUGGCCCUUACGUCCUGGGCUACACGCACGCUACAAUGGGGCGGACAGAGGGUAGCCAAGCCGCGAGGUGGAGCGAAUCCCAAAAACCGCUUCUCAGUUCAGAUUGUGGGCUGCAACUCGCCCGCAUGAAGGCGGAGUCGCUAGUAACCGCAGGUCAGCAGUACUGCGGUGAAUACGUUCCCGGGCCUU
Molecule: ribosomal RNA, 421 nt
Filed under: uncultured Thermomicrobia bacterium
Lineage: Bacteria; Pseudomonadati; Thermomicrobiota; Thermomicrobia
Description: bacterial SSU rRNA
Rfam family: Bacterial small subunit ribosomal RNA
Source: RNAcentral